GAACUCAAUCAGUAGAGCAUGACACUCUUAAUGUCAAGGUUGUGGGUUCAAGCUCCACAUUGGACA
Molecule: non-coding RNA, 66 nt
Organism: Podarcis lilfordi (Lilford's wall lizard)
Lineage: Eukaryota; Metazoa; Chordata; Lepidosauria; Squamata; Lacertidae
Source: the annotation of a GenBank genome assembly